CCCCUCCCUUAAGUGUUGUGGGUAUGGCUGCUGUCACAUGUUUGUCAGCAGGUGACACAGAGGAGAGGGGCUAUGUCUGUGUUUGGUGUUCUGACCUGUAAACAUGUGAUGAUUACUAGCCUAAACAUU
Molecule: small nucleolar RNA, 129 nt
Filed under: Meriones unguiculatus (Mongolian gerbil)
Lineage: Eukaryota; Metazoa; Chordata; Mammalia; Rodentia; Muridae
Description: Small nucleolar RNA SNORA17 (ENSMUGG00000019526.1)
Rfam family: Small nucleolar RNA SNORA17
About the family: snoRNA ACA 17 belongs to the H/ACA family of snoRNAs and is predicted to guide pseudouridylation of the 28S rRNA at positions U4659 and U4598.
Source: RNAcentral